RNAcentral lists this ribosomal RNA (792 nucleotides) under Escherichia coli. RNAcentral's name for it is "partial 23S ribosomal RNA". It matches the Rfam family "Bacterial large subunit ribosomal RNA", at positions 437 to 1230 of the family's 2925-position model. The record is from RNAcentral. Lineage: Bacteria; Pseudomonadati; Pseudomonadota; Gammaproteobacteria; Enterobacterales; Enterobacteriaceae.
UCUGAAUAUGGGGGGACCAUCCUCCAAGGCUAAAUACUCCUGACUGACCGAUAGUGAACCAGUACCGUGAGGGAAAGGCGAAAAGAACCCCGGCGAGGGGAGUGAAAAAGAACCUGAAACCGUGUACGUACAAGCAGUGGGAGCACGCUUCGGCGUGUGACUGCGUACCUUUUGUAUAAUGGGUCAGCGACUUAUAUUCUGUAGCAAGGUUAACCGAAUAGGGGAGCCGAAGGGAAACCGAGUCUUAACUGGGCGUUAAGUUGCAGGGUAUAGACCCGAAACCCGGUGAUCUAGCCAUGGGCAGGUUGAAGGUUGGGUAACACUAACUGGAGGACCGAACCGACUAAUGUUGAAAAAUUAGCGGAUGACUUGUGGCUGGGGGUGAAAGGCCAAUCAAACCGGGAGAUAGCUGGUUCUCCCCGAAAGCUAUUUAGGUAGCGCCUCGUGAAUUCAUCUCCGGGGGUAGAGCACUGUUUCGGCAAGGGGGUCAUCCCGACUUACCAACCCGAUGCAAACUGCGAAUACCGGAGAAUGUUAUCACGGGAGACACACGGCGGGUGCUAACGUCCGUCGUGAAGAGGGAAACAACCCAGACCGCCAGCUAAGGUCCCAAAGUCAUGGUUAAGUGGGAAACGAUGUGGGAAGGCCCAGACAGCCAGGAUGUUGGCUUAGAAGCAGCCAUCAUUUAAAGAAAGCGUAAUAGCUCACUGGUCGAGUCGGCCUGCGCGGAAGAUGUAACGGGGCUAAACCAUGCACCGAAGCUGCGGCAGCGACACUAUGUGUUGUUGGGUA